AUGGCGGAGGAACCGUCCACCAAGCGUCAUCAAGACGAGCCGUCAGACAAGAGCAGCAACCUCAUCGACGUUCAUGUCCCCGGCGAGAAGCGCGAGUACACCAAAACCCUCAGAGAGGUUGAGCUCCAUGGCAAGGAGACGCUGGAGAUCGUCUGCACCAGCGAACCAGACAAGGCCGAUGAGGUGAUCUCCAGGCUCUGGAGGAAGGCUGGCGGCAUAGUUCAUAGGAUCGUCGGUGUUGGUGUGCACUACACCAACGAAGAUGAACCUCCCCAGAUGGCAGCAGUCAUGCAGUUGUGCGUCGACGACCUCUGCUUGGUGUACCACAUCGCAGUGGCCAUAAAAUGGCCCAAGCGCCUGAACGAGUUGCGCAGCAUAAGAAGUUGUUCACAUUUGCCGGUUUCAGCAUUGAAAGCGACAAAGAGAAGCUGA
This 432-nucleotide ribosomal RNA is filed under the name Triticum aestivum (bread wheat). RNAcentral's name for it is "partial small subunit ribosomal RNA". The record is from RNAcentral. Lineage: Eukaryota; Viridiplantae; Streptophyta; Magnoliopsida; Poales; Poaceae.